This 324-nucleotide unclassified non-coding RNA is filed under the name soil metagenome. RNAcentral's name for it is "partial contains 5.8S ribosomal RNA, internal transcribed spacer 2, and large subunit ribosomal RNA". The stretch from base 1 to 120 matches the Rfam family "5.8S ribosomal RNA", at positions 35 to 154 of the family's 154-position model. The record is from RNAcentral.
GAUGAAGAACGCAGCGAAAUGCGAUAAGUAAUGUGAAUUGCAGAAUUCAGUGAAUCAUCGAAUCUUUGAACGCACAUUGCGCCCCUUGGUAUUCCGGGGGGCAUGCCUGUUCGAGCGUCAUUUCAACCCUCAAGCCUCGCUUGGUGUUGGGCCCUGCCCGCCGCGGCCGGCCCUAAAGAUAGUGGCGGCGCCGCCUGGCCCUCAGCGUAGUACAGCUCUCGCUCCAGGGUCCGGCGGCAGCCUGCCAGAACCCCCCAACUCUGUGGUUGACCUCGGAUCAGGUAGGGAUACCCGCUGAACUUAAGCAUAUCAAUAAGCGGAGGA